UACGAAGGGGGCUAGCGUUGUUCGGAAUCACUGGGCGUAAAGCGCACGUAGGCGGAUGUGCCAGUCAGGGGUGAAAUCCCGGAGCUCAACCCUGGAACUGCCUUUGAUACUGACGAUCUGGAGAUCGGGAGAGGUUGGUGGAAUUCCGAGUGUAGAGGUGAAAUUCGUAGAUAUUGGGAAGAACACCGGUGGCGAAGGCGGCUAUCUGGCCCGUAAUUGACGCUGAGGCGCGAAAGCGUGGGGAGCAAACAGG
RNAcentral lists this ribosomal RNA (253 nucleotides) under uncultured bacterium. RNAcentral describes it as "partial 16S ribosomal RNA". It matches the Rfam family "Bacterial small subunit ribosomal RNA", at positions 524 to 776 of the family's 1533-position model. The record is from RNAcentral.